This is a long non-coding RNA of Triticum aestivum (bread wheat), 167 nucleotides long. RefSeq lists it as uncharacterized. Lineage: Eukaryota; Viridiplantae; Streptophyta; Magnoliopsida; Poales; Poaceae. The record is from RefSeq and is a predicted model, not a curated record. The transcript has 4 exons.
ACACGUAUGGCUAGAAACAGGAACAGAGGUCUGGAGCAAAACGAAGAAUAGACUUUACCGAGGAUGAUGCCAACAAAUCUAUCAGAUCAAAGGAACAUGAACAUAGUCCUUCCAAAGAAUACAAGAAAGACAAAACAGACAACAAAGAUCCAACAACCAAUUAUGGA